This 207-nucleotide ribosomal RNA is filed under the name uncultured bacterium. RNAcentral's name for it is "partial 16S ribosomal RNA". It matches the Rfam family "Bacterial small subunit ribosomal RNA", at positions 568 to 774 of the family's 1533-position model. The record is from RNAcentral.
CUCGUAGGCGGUUUGUCGCGUCGGGAGUGAAAUCUUCGGGCUUAACUCGGAGCUUGCUUUCGAUACGGGCAGACUUGAGGCAUUCAGGGGAGAACGGAAUUCCUGGUGUAGCGGUGAAAUGCGCAGAUAUCAGGAGGAACAUCGGUGGCGAAGGCGGUUCUCUGGGAAUGUUCUGACGCUGAGGAGCGAAAGUGUGGGGAGCGAACA